RNAcentral lists this transfer RNA (65 nucleotides) under Botrylloides nigrum. RNAcentral's name for it is "transfer RNA-Asn". The record is from RNAcentral. Lineage: Eukaryota; Metazoa; Chordata; Ascidiacea; Stolidobranchia; Styelidae.
ACUAAUUUAAUAUAAUUUAAGUAUUGUUCACUGUUAAUGAUCGGGUGCCCUGUGGGCAGUUAGUG